AUUUGGGUCCCUGCACUCCGUCGCCGGAAGUGCCACCAAGAAGCGCCGGCCUCCUAGCUGUCUAGAGCGACCCGGGAAAGGCUGUGGUGUCCCCGAGCGCGAGUGUGUCGGUGACAGGACGGCGGCCAGGCCCGCCCCUCCCCUCGUGAUGGUCAUUGUCCUCCAGAGCAGUGAUGGAGGAAAUACCAGCCCAGGAAGCAGCAGGAUCACCAAGGGUCCAGUUUCAGUCUUUGGAGACCCAGUCUGAGGGUCUGUCCCCAGAGCCUCAGUUUGUGCAGGACACCGACAUGGAACAGGGACUCACUGGGGCUCCACCUGUUCCCCAGGUGCCUGCUCUUCCCCAUGAGGGAAGCCCAGGAGACCAAGCAGCUGCGCUCUUGACAGCCAGGUACCAGGAGUUUGUGACAUUCGAGGAUGUGGCUGUGCACCUUACUCGAGAGGAAUGGGGAUACCUGGACCCUGUUCAGAGGGACCUCUACAGAGAAGUGAUGUUAGAGAAUUAUGGGAACGUGGUCUCACUGGGCAUACUUCUCCGCCUUCCCACCACCCGGAUUCAUAGUGUGAAUUCCUGUCCGGCCCUGAGUCAUACCCAGGCAAGUGCUUUCUCUGGAGAAACACUUGCAGUCCUUACGGCAGGAAUCUCCAAGAGAUGGCCCAAGUAUCGGCUUCCCAUCGAUAUUGCUCAUCCCUGCUCGGAACUCCUUUUCCACGAUUGUGAGAUACUAAACUUGACUGAUGGAAUAGAAGCUCCCCAGGAUGCCACCACUACGUAAAAUCACAGCUCCUCAAAUUACCUCUGCUGAAUUUCUAAUAUUAGGGUCCAAGGAAGCCCUUUGUUGCAACCAGAUGCAUUUUGAAUCCAGUUCAUUCAGAAACCAUGGUUGGUGGUCAUGAUCUGCUUGUGUUCUGAAAAACCAGAAAGUCCAACUUCAGCUCUUCAGUUACGGUUUUUUUCAUAGGAUUUUAGAAUGUGAAACUUACGCUGUGUGCCCCAUCUUCUGUGUAGCAGAUACAAUCUGCCCUGUAUGGUGCCUAACUCUCCAGUGAACUCUGGGCUUUCCUCAUGUUUGACAUUCUGGUUCCCUCCUUCCUUGAAGUCUCUGUGGAACUCUUCAAGGUCAUACCUUCCUCCCCUUUGUUCUUUGUGGUUCUGUACAGAUUGAUGCACUUAUGUUGCCUUUCCUGAUUAAGUGUUCCCUACUUCGUCCUUGGUGGAGGGGAGAAGGAAGGGCAAAGAAGUUAAAUUUAUUUCAGAGCAUCCAAAUGAAUGUCUACUAAAUAACUUUGUAAACUGAAAAGUGACAUAUAUAUAUGAUUGUAAGUACUGUUAAUUUUAUCUAAUAAUUACAGAGUUUCCAACAGUUAA
This is a non-coding RNA of Saimiri boliviensis boliviensis (Bolivian squirrel monkey), 1366 nucleotides long. NCBI's taxonomy places the organism in Eukaryota, Metazoa, Chordata, Mammalia, Primates, Cebidae. The record is from RefSeq and is a predicted model, not a curated record.